This 478-nucleotide ribosomal RNA is filed under the name uncultured bacterium. RNAcentral describes it as "partial 16S ribosomal RNA". It matches the Rfam family "Bacterial small subunit ribosomal RNA", at positions 28 to 507 of the family's 1533-position model. The record is from RNAcentral.
GACGAACGCUGGCGGCGUGCUUAACACAUGCAAGUCGAACGGGAUUUAGUAGACAGAAGCCUCGGCUAAAGAUUACUAAUGAGAGUGGCGAACGGGUGAGUAACGCGUGAGCAACCUGCCUAUGACAGUGGGAUAGCCUCGGGAAACCGGGAUUAAUACCGCAUAAAAUCGUAGAAACACAUGUUUCAACGGUCAAAGAUUUAUCGGUCAUAGAUGGGCUCGCGUCUGACUAGCUAGUUGGUGAGAUAACAGCCCACCAAGGCGACGAUCAGUAGCCGGUCUGGGAGGGUUGACCGCCACCAUUGAACUGGGAACCGGUUCCGACUCCUACGGGAGGCAACAGUGGGGAAUAUUGCACAAUGGGGGAAACCCUGAUGCAGCGACGCCGCGUGAACGAAGAAGGUAUUCGUAUCGUAAAGUUCUGUCCUAUGGGAAGAUAAUGACAGUACCAUAGAAGAAAGCUCCGGCUAAAUACGUG